RNAcentral lists this ribosomal RNA (897 nucleotides) under Laccaria sp. GMM7615. RNAcentral's name for it is "eukaryotic LSU rRNA". It matches the Rfam family "Eukaryotic large subunit ribosomal RNA", at positions 64 to 945 of the family's 3401-position model. Lineage: Eukaryota; Fungi; Basidiomycota; Agaricomycetes; Agaricales; Hydnangiaceae. The record is from RNAcentral.
ACUAACAAGGAUUCCCCUAGUAACUGCGAGUGAAGCGGGAAAAGCUCAAAUUUAAAAUCUGGCAGUCUUUGGCUGUCCGAGUUGUAAUCUAGAGAAGUAUUAUCCGCGCUGGACCGUGUACAAGUCUCCUGGAAUGGAGCGUCAUAGAGGGUGAGAAUCCCGUCUUUGACACGGACUGCCAGGGCUUUGUGAUGUGCUCUCAAAGAGUCGAGUUGUUUGGGAAUGCAGCUCAAAAUGGGUGGUAAAUUCCAUCUAAAGCUAAAUAUUGGCGAGAGACCGAUAGCGAACAAGUACCGUGAGGGAAAGAUGAAAAGAACUUUGGAAAGAGAGUUAAACAGUACGUGAAAUUGCUGAAAGGGAAACGCUUGAAGUCAGUCGCGUUGGCCAGGGAUCAACCUUGCUUUUUUGCUUGGCUUACUUUCUGGUUGAUGGGUCAGCAUCAAUUUUGACUGGUGGAAAAAGUUCAAGGGAAUGUGGCAUCUUCUGAUGUGUUAUAGCCUUUGUUCGCAUACAUCGGUUGGGAUUGAGGAACUCAGCACGCCGCAAGGCCGGGUUUUUAACCACGUACGUGCUUAGGAUGCUGGCAUAAUGGCUUUAAUCGACCCGUCUUGAAACACGGACCAAGGAGUCUAACAUGCCUGCGAGUGUUUGGGUGAAAAACUCGAGCGCGUAAUGAAAGUGAAAGUUGAGAUCCCUGUCAUGGGGAGCAUUGACGCCCGGAUCUGACCUUUUGUGACGAUUCUGCGGUAGAGCAUGUAUGUUGGGACCCGAAAGAUGGUGAACUAUGCCUGAAUAGGGUGAAGCCAGAGGAAACUCUGGUGGAGGCUCGUAGCGAUUCUGACGUGCAAAUCGAUCGUCAAAUUUGGGUAUAGGGGCGAAAGACUAAUCGAACCAUCU